Molecule: ribosomal RNA, 370 nt
Filed under: Escherichia coli
Lineage: Bacteria; Pseudomonadati; Pseudomonadota; Gammaproteobacteria; Enterobacterales; Enterobacteriaceae
Description: bacterial SSU rRNA
Rfam family: Bacterial small subunit ribosomal RNA
Source: RNAcentral
GGGAUGACGUCAAGUCAUCAUGGCCCUUACGACCAGGGCUACACACGUGCUACAAUGGCGCAUACAAAGAGAAGCGAUCUCGCGAGAGCAAGCGGACCUCAUAAAGUGCGUCGUAGUCCGGAUUGGAGUCUGCAACUCGACUCCAUGAAGUCGGAAUCGCUAGUAAUCGUGGAUCAGAAUGCCACGGUGAAUACGUUCCCGGGCCUUGUACACACCGCCCGUCACACCAUGGGAGUGGGUUGCAAAAGAAGUAGGUAGCUUAACCUUCGGGAGGGCGCUUACCACUUUGUGAUUCAUGACUGGGGUGAAGUCGUAACAAGGUAACCGUAGGGGAACCUGCGGUUGGAUCACCUCCUUACCUUAAAGAAGC